Molecule: non-coding RNA, 252 nt
Organism: Camellia sinensis
Lineage: Eukaryota; Viridiplantae; Streptophyta; Magnoliopsida; Ericales; Theaceae
Source: RefSeq, a predicted model, not a curated record
CUCUUGUGGUGCUUCUGUUCUUUCCCACAUGUUCUUUCAUAUUGGCUGACUCUUUUCACAUGAUUUGGAUGCUUGUCACUUCAAGUCCACACUAAAAAAAUUAUAUCUAUGUUCCUUUCGUUAUGAAUACUUUGGUAUGGCCAGUCAGCAUGUUGAUGAGAAGCACUGAAUGUGGUAAAAAGGUCCAUUUUCUAACAAGAACAAAAAAAAUGUGUCUAGUUUCUAAUGACAGCAUUUAUCCUAUCUCAAAAA